Molecule: ribosomal RNA, 477 nt
Filed under: Candidatus Brocadia fulgida
Lineage: Bacteria; Pseudomonadati; Planctomycetota; Candidatus Brocadiia; Candidatus Brocadiales; Candidatus Brocadiaceae
Description: bacterial SSU rRNA
Rfam family: Bacterial small subunit ribosomal RNA
Source: RNAcentral
UUCGCAAUGCCCGAAAGGGUGACGAAGCGACGCCGCGUGCGGGAAGAAGGCCUUCGGGUUGUAAACCGCUGUCGGGAGUUAAGAAAUGCAAGGGUGUUAAUAAUAUCCUCGCUUGACUAAGGCUCCGGAGGAAGCCACGGCUAACUCUGUGCCAGCAGCCGCGGUAAUACAGAGGCGGCAAGCGUUGUUCGGAAUUAUUGGGCGUAAAGAGCACGUAGGCGGCUGUGUAAGUCGGUUGUGAAAGCCUUCCGCUCAACGGGAGAACGGCAUCCGAUACUGCAUGGCUUGAGUGCGGGAGGGGAGAGUGGAACUUCUGGUGGAGCGGUGAAAUGCAUAGAUAUCAGAAGGAACGCCGGCGGCGAAAGCGACUCUCUGGUCCGUAACUGACGCUGAGUGUGCGAAAGCUAGGGGAGCAAACGGGAUUAGAUACCCCGGUAGUCCUAGCCGUAAACGAUGGGCACUAAGUAGAGGGGUUUU